RNAcentral lists this ribosomal RNA (166 nucleotides) under uncultured bacterium. RNAcentral's name for it is "partial 16S rRNA". It matches the Rfam family "Bacterial small subunit ribosomal RNA", at positions 354 to 511 of the family's 1533-position model. The record is from RNAcentral.
UAGGGAAAUCUUCCACAAUGGACGAAAGUCUAGAUGGAGCAACGCCGCGUGAGUGAAGAAGGGUUUCGGCUCGUAAAACUCUGUUGUUAAAGAAGAACAUAUCUGAGAGUAACUGUUCAGGUAUUGACGGUAUUUAACCAGAAAGCCACGGCUAACUACGUGCCAC